UUUUUAGUUUGAUUCUGGCUCAGGAUGAACGCUGGCGGCGUGCCUAAUACAUGCAAGUCGAGCGAAUGGAUUAAGAGCUUGCUCUUAUGAAGUUAGCGGCGGACGGGUGAGUAACACGUGGGUAACCUGCCCAUAAGACUGGGAUAACUCCGGGAAACCGGGGCUAAUACCGGAUAACAUUUUGAACCGCAUGGUUCGAAAUUGAAAGGCGGCUUCGGCUGUCACUUAUGGAUGGACCCGCGUCGCAUUAGCUAGUUGGUGAGGUAACGGCUCACCAAGGCAACGAUGCGUAGCCGACCUGAGAGGGUGAUCGGCCACACUGGGACUGAGACACGGCCCAGACUCCUACGGGAGGCAGCAGUAGGGAAUCUUCCGCAAUGGACGAAAGUCUGACGGAGCAACGCCGCGUGAGUGAUGAAGGCUUUCGGGUCGUAAAACUCUGUUGUUAGGGAAGAACAAGUGCUAGUUGAAUAAGCUGGCACCUUGACGGUACCUAACCAGAAAGCCACGGCUAACUACGUGCCAGCAGCCGCGGUAAUACGUAGGUGGCAAGCGUUAUCCGGAAUUAUUGGGCGUAAAGCGCGCGCAGGUGGUUUCUUAAGUCUGAUGUGAAAGCCCACGGCUCAACCGUGGAGGGUCAUUGGAAACUGGGAGACUUGAGUGCAGAAGAGGAAAGUGGAAUUCCAUGUGUAGCGGUGAAAUGCGUAGAGAUAUGGAGGAACACCAGUGGCGAAGGCGACUUUCUGGUCUGUAACUGACACUGAGGCGCGAAAGCGUGGGGAGCAAACAGGAUUAGAU
RNAcentral lists this ribosomal RNA (798 nucleotides) under Bacillus thuringiensis. RNAcentral describes it as "bacterial SSU rRNA". It matches the Rfam family "Bacterial small subunit ribosomal RNA", at positions 1 to 783 of the family's 1533-position model. Lineage: Bacteria; Bacillati; Bacillota; Bacilli; Caryophanales; Bacillaceae. The record is from RNAcentral.